CGCAGGCUCGGCGUUGGCCCCCGCGCCCCGUGCAAGUGCGCCGUUCUCGGGUGCCCUAGGUCGCGGGGCAGCUGGGGCGGAAGGGCUUGUUCAUUAUUUUGAGAGUUUGUUGUGAACGUCAUAACCCUUCGUCCUUAAAUAUUGCCGAUACUUGACCUACGCAAGAGACAAUGUCAUGUGAUUCAGCCUAAUAUCUCAGAGGAUGCAGCAUUCAAGGUUCUAUCUUGGAAGCAGAGACUGGGCCCUCACCAGAUGCUGAACCUGCUGAGCACCUUGAUCUUCCACUUCACCUUCAUCAGAACUGGUGCUAAGAAUUCUGAAUUUAUUGAGGAAACGUCUGAUUGCAACAAAAAACUUGUCUGGCUUUGGGAAGCAACAGGCUUAGGAAAAAAAUUAAAGGCAUCUUUACUAGAAGUUCAAGACUGGGGCCGUGGCUGAGAUGUCACAUGGGAGAUAGGAUCACAAAUUUCUGUUGUAUCUGGAUGGAGAUCAGCAGGAGGAUCUAUGGGUGAGAAGAAGCACAGUUACAGAUGGAUUCUAGAGCCUGCUUGCUGAUACAGGCUUGCAACUGUGGACUUUAUAAGCUUAGUUUUUAAUCUGCUAUCAGCUAGCAUAAUACCAUAAAUGCAUAAGAAACUAAGUAUUCAGUCUUAAGAGAAAUGCUACCUUGACCUGACCCUUUCUCCAAAUAAAUUCACAAAA
Molecule: long non-coding RNA, 702 nt
Filed under: Pongo abelii (Sumatran orangutan)
Lineage: Eukaryota; Metazoa; Chordata; Mammalia; Primates; Hominidae
Description: lincRNA
Source: RNAcentral